RNAcentral lists this ribosomal RNA (503 nucleotides) under uncultured bacterium. Its description in RNAcentral is "partial 16S ribosomal RNA". It matches the Rfam family "Bacterial small subunit ribosomal RNA", at positions 29 to 523 of the family's 1533-position model. The record is from RNAcentral.
AACGAACGCUGGCGGCAGGCUUAACACAUGCAAGUCGAGCGGGGUGAUGGUGCUUGCACUAUCACUUAGCGGCGGACGGGUGAGUAAUGCUUAGGAAUCUGCCUAUUAGUGGGGGACGACAUCUCGAAAGGGAUGCUAAUACCGCAUACGUCCUACGGGAGAAAGCAGGGGAUCACUUGUGACCUUGCGCUAAUAGAUGAGCCUAAGUCGGAUUAGCUAGUUGGUGGGGUAGAGGCCUACCAAGGCGACGAUCUGCAGCGGGUCUGAGAGGAUGAUCCGCCACACUGGGACUGAGACACGGCCCAGACUCCUACGGGAGGCAGCAGUGGGGAAUAUUGGACAAUGGGGGGAACCCUGAUCCAGCCAUGCCGCGUGUGUGAAGAAGGCCUUAUGGUUGUAAAGCACUUUAAGCGAGGAGGAGGCUCUUUUGGUUAAUACCCAAGAUGAGUGGACGUUACUCGCAGAAUAAGCACCGGCUAACUCUGUGCCAGCAGCCGCCGUAA